ACACUUACCUGGUCAGAGUUUGAUCCUAAUGGUGCUUUUUCCAUGGUGAGGCUCAUCCAUUGCACUCCAGAUAUGUGACCCCUGUGAUUUCCCCAAAUGUGGGAAACUCCACUGCAGAAUGGUAGUGGCUU
Small nuclear RNA from Octodon degus (degu), 131 nucleotides. Its record names the gene U1. It matches the Rfam family "U1 spliceosomal RNA". Rfam says of the family: U1 is a small nuclear RNA (snRNA) component of the spliceosome (involved in pre-mRNA splicing). Its 5' end forms complementary base pairs with the 5' splice junction, thus defining the 5' donor site of an intron. There are significant differences in sequence and secondary structure between metazoan and yeast U1 snRNAs, the latter being much longer (568 nucleotides as compared to 164 nucleotides in human). The record is from Ensembl. Lineage: Eukaryota; Metazoa; Chordata; Mammalia; Rodentia; Octodontidae.